This 223-nucleotide unclassified non-coding RNA is filed under the name Hevea brasiliensis (rubber tree). Lineage: Eukaryota; Viridiplantae; Streptophyta; Magnoliopsida; Malpighiales; Euphorbiaceae. The record is from RNAcentral.
GCGGUGUUCAUUUUGAAUACCAUAUUGGUGGAUAUAUCCCCUUUUUUACACAUCAAUAAUUGUGAUAUCUCUUCCCUUGCUUCCCAUGUAUAAUUAGCUCUCUAAGUGAAUCCUCAAUGAUGCUUACAUGGAGUUUUUGAAGUCUGCAAGGGUCUCUGAACUGUUUCUUUAGGCACUUGGAGUUUACCAACUCCAACAUCUGGACCAUAUAGUUAUAUUGAAG